GUCGGCCGCGGGGAUUGGAUUGGCGUAAGACAUGCAAGUCGAACGGCAGCACGGAGCUUGCUCUGGUGGAGAAAAGCGAACGGGUGAGUAAUAUAUCGGAACGUACCCUGGAGUGGGGGAUAACGUAGCGAAAGUUACGGUAAUAGCGCAUACGAUCUAAGGAUGAAAGUGGGGGAUCGCAAGACCUCAUGCUCGUGGAGCGGCCGAUAUCUGAUUAGCUAGUUGGUAGGGUAAAAGCCUACCAAGGCAUCGAUCAGUAGCUGGUCUGAGAGGACGACCGGCCACACUGGAACGGAGACGCGGUCCAGACUCCUACGGGAGGCAGCAGUGGGGAAUUUUGGACAAUGGGCGAAAGCCUGAUC
RNAcentral lists this ribosomal RNA (362 nucleotides) under uncultured bacterium. RNAcentral's name for it is "bacterial SSU rRNA". It matches the Rfam family "Bacterial small subunit ribosomal RNA", at positions 46 to 388 of the family's 1533-position model. The record is from RNAcentral.